RNAcentral lists this ribosomal RNA (354 nucleotides) under uncultured bacterium. RNAcentral describes it as "bacterial SSU rRNA". It matches the Rfam family "Bacterial small subunit ribosomal RNA", at positions 137 to 507 of the family's 1533-position model. The record is from RNAcentral.
UGGGGGACAACAGUUGGAAACGACUGCUAAUACCGCAUAAUGUAUCCGGAGGGCAUCCUCUGGAUACCAAAGCUUUAUGUGCUGAGAGAUGGUCUCGCGUCUGAUUAGCUAGAUGGCGGGUAACGGCCACCAUGGCGACGAUCAGUAGCCGGUCUGAGAGGAUGAACGGCCACAUUGGGACUGAGAUACGGCCCAGACUCCUACGGGAGGCAGCAGUGGGGAAUAUUGGGCAAUGGGGGAAACCCUGACCCAGCAACGCCGCGUGAAGGAAGAAGGCUUUCGGGUUGUAAACUUCUUUUACCAGGGACGAAGGACGUGACGGUACCUGGAGAAAAAGCAACGGCUAACUACGUG